This 484-nucleotide ribosomal RNA is filed under the name uncultured bacterium. RNAcentral describes it as "partial 16S ribosomal RNA". It matches the Rfam family "Bacterial small subunit ribosomal RNA", at positions 28 to 523 of the family's 1533-position model. The record is from RNAcentral.
GAUGAACGCUGGCGGCGUGCUUAACACAUGCAAGUCGAACGGUGAAGCAGGAGCUUGCUCUUGUGGAUCAGUGGCGAACGGGUGAGUAACACGUGAGCAACCUGCCCCUGACUCUGGGAUAAGCGCUGGAAACGGCGUCUAAUACUGGAUAUGUGUUGUGACCGCAUGGUCUGCAUCUGGAAAGAAUUUCGGUUGGGGAUGGGCUCGCGGCCUAUCAGCUUGUUGGUGAGGUAAUGGCUCACCAAGGCGUCGACGGGUAGCCGGCCUGAGAGGGUGACCGGCCACACUGGGACUGAGACACGGCCCAGACUCCUACGGGAGGCAGCAGUGGGGAAUAUUGCACAAUGGGCGGAAGCCUGAUGCAGCAACGCCGCGUGAGGGAUGACGGCCUUCGGGUUGUAAACCUCUUUUAGCAGGGAAGAAGCGAAAGUGACGGUACCUGCAGAAAAAGCACCGGCUAACUACGUGCCAGCAGCCGCGGUAA